GUAGGUGGCAAGCGUUGUCCGGAAUUAUUGGGGCGUAAAGCGCGCGCAGGCGGUUCUUUAAGUCUGAUGUGAAAGCCCACGGGCUCAACCGUGGAGGGUCAUUGGAAACUGGAGAACUUGAGUACAGAAGAGGAAAGCGGAAUUCCACGUGUAGCGGUGAAAUGCGUUGAGAUGUGGAGGAACACCAGUGGCGAAGGCGGCUUUCUGGUCUGUAACUGACGCUGAGGCGCGAAAGCGUGGGGAGCAAACAGGAUUAGAUACCCUGGUAGUCCACGCCGUAAACGAUGAGUGCUAAGUGUUAGGGGGUUUCCGCCCCUUAGUGCUGCAGCUAACGCAUUAAGCACUCCGCCUGGGGAGUACGGCCGCAAAGGCUG
RNAcentral lists this ribosomal RNA (374 nucleotides) under uncultured organism. RNAcentral's name for it is "partial 16S ribosomal RNA". It matches the Rfam family "Bacterial small subunit ribosomal RNA", at positions 527 to 896 of the family's 1533-position model. The record is from RNAcentral.